This 73-nucleotide transfer RNA is filed under the name Candidatus Shikimatogenerans bostrichidophilus. RNAcentral describes it as "tRNA-Gly". It matches the Rfam family "tRNA". Rfam says of the family: Transfer RNA (tRNA) molecules are approximately 80 nucleotides in length. Their secondary structure includes four short double-helical elements and three loops (D, anti-codon, and T loops). The record is from RNAcentral. Lineage: Bacteria; Pseudomonadati; Bacteroidota; Flavobacteriia; Flavobacteriales.
GCGGGAAUAACUCAAUUGGUAGAGUAUCAGUUUUCCAAACUGAAAGUUAUGGGUUCAAAUCCCAUUUUCCGCU